AUUGAACGCUGGCGGCAUGCCUUACACAUGCAAGUCGAACGGUAACAGGUCUUCGGAUGCUGACGAGUGGCGAACGGGUGAGUAAUACAUCGGAACGUGCCCGAUCGUGGGGGAUAACGGAGCGAAAGCUUUGCUAAUACCGCAUACGAUCUACGGAUGAAAGCAGGGGAUCGCAAGACCUCGCGCGGACGGAGCGGCCGAUGGCAGAUUAGGUAGUUGGUGGGAUAAAAGCUUACCAAGCCGACGAUCUGUAGCUGGUCUGAGAGGACGACCAGCCACACUGGGACUGAGACACGGCCCAGACUCCUACGGGAGGCAGCAGUGGGGAAUUUUGGACAAUGGGCGCAAGCCUGAUCCAGCCAUGCCGCGUGCAGGAUGAAGGCCUUCGGUUGUAAACUGCUUUGUACGGAACGAAAAGACUCUCUCUAAUACAGGGGUGGAAUGACGGUACCGUAAGAAUAAGACACCGGCUAACUACGUGCCAGCAGCCGC
This 492-nucleotide ribosomal RNA is filed under the name uncultured bacterium. Its description in RNAcentral is "bacterial SSU rRNA". It matches the Rfam family "Bacterial small subunit ribosomal RNA", at positions 30 to 518 of the family's 1533-position model. The record is from RNAcentral.